ACUUUGUUCAUUUAGCACCAUCAACAUUAAGGCAAGACCCUCCACCAGCAAAAGGAUUACUACUCACUGAAGGCUCAUAUGAUUGUUAGCAAUUUUUAGCAAUAAAACAUUUUAAAAUUAA
Molecule: long non-coding RNA, 121 nt
Organism: Sapajus apella (tufted capuchin)
Lineage: Eukaryota; Metazoa; Chordata; Mammalia; Primates; Cebidae
Exons: 3
Source: RefSeq, a predicted model, not a curated record